CCGAGUUCAUGCCCUAACGGGUAGAUCUCCCACCCUAUGUUAUUAUUACCUUUGUUGCUUUGGCGGGCCGUCAGACUUCAGUUAGGCUACCGGCUUCGGCUAGUAAGCGCCCGCCAGAGGACCCCAAACUCUGAAUAUUAGUGUCGUCUGAGUACUAUAUAAUAGUUA
Molecule: unclassified non-coding RNA, 168 nt
Filed under: uncultured Helotiales
Lineage: Eukaryota; Fungi; Ascomycota; Leotiomycetes; Helotiales
Description: sequence contains ITS1
Source: RNAcentral